GAGGGUAUAGCUCAGUGGUAGAGUUCCCGCUUAGCAUGCAUGAGGUCCUGGGUUUGAUCCUAGUAUCUUCA
This 71-nucleotide transfer RNA is filed under the name Camelus bactrianus (Bactrian camel). It matches the Rfam family "tRNA". Rfam says of the family: Transfer RNA (tRNA) molecules are approximately 80 nucleotides in length. RNAcentral also lists the same sequence under 1 other name. Lineage: Eukaryota; Metazoa; Chordata; Mammalia; Artiodactyla; Camelidae. The record is from Rfam by way of RNAcentral.